This 1454-nucleotide ribosomal RNA is filed under the name uncultured Actinomycetes bacterium. RNAcentral's name for it is "bacterial SSU rRNA". It matches the Rfam family "Bacterial small subunit ribosomal RNA". The record is from RNAcentral. Lineage: Bacteria; Bacillati; Actinomycetota; Actinomycetes.
AUUGAUCAUGGCUCAGGACGAACGCUGGCGGCGUGCCUAAUGCAUGCAAGUCGAGCGCAUAUUGGGGCUUGCCCCGAUAUGACGGAGCGGCGAACGGGUGAGUAACACGUGAGCAACCUGCCCAAGACCGGGAUAGCCCGAGGAAACUCGGAUUAAUACCGGAUGCCUAGCACCACCGCAUGGCGGAGUGAAGAAAAGCUUUUGCGCUUUGGGAUGGGCUCGCGGCCUAUCAGCUAGUUGGUGAGGUAACGGCUCACCAAGGCAUCGACGGGUAGCUGGUCUGAGAGGACGAUCAGCCACACUGGAACUGAGACACGGUCCAGACUCCUACGGGAGGCAGCAGCAGGGAAUAUUGCACAAUGGGCGAACUAUGAUGCAGCAACGCCGCGUGAGGGAUGACGGCCUUCGGGUUGUAAACCUCUUUCAGGAGGAGAAUUGACGGUACCUCCAAAAGCCCCGGCUAACUACGUGCCAGCAGCCGCGGUAAUACGUAGGACUCGAGCGUUGUCCGGAUUUAUUGGGCGUAAAGAGCUCGUAGGCGGCUCAGUAAGUCGGCUGUGAAAGUCCGAGGCUCAACCUCGGAACUGCAGUCGAUACUGCUGUGGCUAGAGUCAGGUAGAGGAGAAUGGAAUAGUGGUGUAGCGGUGGAAUGCGCAGAUAUCGGGAGGAACACCAGUAGCGAAGGCGGUUCUCACAGCCUGUACUGACGCUGAGGAGCGAAAGCGUGGGGAGCAAACAGGAUUAGAUACCCUGGUAGUCCACGCCGUAAACGUUGGGUACUAGGUGUGGCGAUCGGACUAACGAUUGCCGUGCCGAAGCUAACGCAUUAAGUACCCCGCCUGGGGAGUACGGCCGCAAGGCUAGUCCUCAAAGGAAUUGACGGGUCCCCGCACAAGCGGCGGAGCAUGCGGCUUAAUUCGAUGCAACCCGAAGAACCUUACCUGGACUUGACAUCAUGGGAAUCGCCGUGGAAACACGGUGUGCAUUAGCGUCCAUGACAGGUGGUGCAUGGCUGUCACGAGCUCGUCGUGAGAUGUUGGGUUAAGUCCCGCAACGAGCGCAACCCUUGUCCUAUGUUGCUCGCGGUUCGGCCGGACUCAUGGGAGACUGCCGGACUUAACUCGGAGGAAGGUGAGGACGACGUCAAGUCAUCAUGCCCCUUGUCCAGGGCUGCACGCAUGCUACAAUGGGCGGUACAACGGGCUGCGACCCUGCGAAGGUGAGCGAAUCCCACAAAGCCGUCCUCAGUUCGGCAAGAAGUCUGCAACUCGACUUCAUGAAGCCGGAGUCGCUAGUAAUCGUGGAUCAGCAAUGCCGCGGUGAAUGCGUUCUCGGGGAUUGUACACACCGCCUACCACGUCACGGAAGUCGGCACCGAAGUCAGUGGCCCAACCGAGAGGGGAGCUGCCGAAGGUGGGGUCGGUAACUGGGACGAAGUCGUAACAAGGUAACCA